RNAcentral lists this unclassified non-coding RNA (2540 nucleotides) under Daphnia pulicaria. RNAcentral describes it as "serine/threonine-protein kinase/endoribonuclease ire- 1-like, transcript variant X2". The record is from RNAcentral. Lineage: Eukaryota; Metazoa; Arthropoda; Branchiopoda; Diplostraca; Daphniidae.
UAGAAUUAUUAUCGAAGUCAGAGAUAGAAUUAUGGCAUCCAGAGCGAUUGAGAAAAACCAGAUUGUAUUGGAAAACCAACGUUUGGCGAAUGAGUUGAGUCUAGUUCAAUCACAACUGACAGACUCCCAUUCCAAGUUACGACAAUUCCACAACGAGUUAGCAACUACCAAAAGCAAACUCGAAGAAAAGAAAAGUCUUAUUACUGACAUUACGGAGAAAAAUCUCCGCUUGACAAAUGAAAAUUCGCGACUUAAGCGAAAAACUGAAGACAGGGAUAGAAUUAUCGAAGACAGCGAUAGAAUUAUGGCAUCCAGUCGAGCGAUUGAGAAGAACCUUGUGAUGGAUAAAGAACGCUUAGCGAAUGAGUUGACUCUGCUUCAAACACAACUGAGGUCCAGCUCCAGCCCGCAAAUGUUUCAAACUGUACACAUCGAGUUGGCAAUCACCAAAAACGAACUCGAAAAUAACAAACGUUUAAUGACUGGCAUUACGGAGAAAAAUCUCCAAUUGAAAAAAGACGAUUCGCGUCUCAGGCGGAAAAUCGAAGACAGAGAUAAAAUUAUGGCAUCUAGUGCGAUUGAGAAAAACCAGAUUGUAUUGGAAAAAGAACGUUUGGCAAAUGAGUUGAGUCUAGUUCAAUCACAACUGAAAGACUCGCAUUCCAACCUGCAAUUAUUCCAGAACGUACACGACGAGUUAGCAACUACCAAAAGGGAACUCGAAAAUAAAAAACGUCAAAUGACUGACAUUGAGUCAAAGCUAGAGUCAAAGAAUAGAACCAUUUCUGAACUUGAAACGGAAAUUCUCCGUUGGACCGAAAACGAUUUACAGCUGAGGCGAAAAUUGGAAGAAACUGAUCGUCUUCUCCAAUCCGGUCAGGCGGAAAUGGAAGAACUACGAGUAUCCCAGACCGAAAGGAUCGAGCGCUUACAGGAUCAAGUGAAAAGUCUAGAAGAGAAGAAGAAGAAAUGGAAGAAGCCGUUCGAAAAUUUGCCAAAAUGGAAGAUAUUUAAGCCAAAAGAAAUGAAACCGAAAUUGGCGGCAGAAGUCGGAUGAGGCAGCGAAGAGGUGCGAAUCCUCGGCUGACCCUCGGACGCCAUGGGAGUAAUGUAAAGAGGAUUGAAAACCAAUAUGGGGUAAAGGUUAUAGGUUUAAUAAACGUAAUUCAAAAUCUGCCGGUAACAAUGGAGUGCCCUGAACUGGACACGAGAGGAAACAUCUUUGCCAACGGUUAUUUGUUAAGUGAGCUCGGCAUCAACAAUGACGUAAGCACUCAUCGACCAUCUAACGAUAAAGAAAACAAGGACGUUACCAUUUGGGAAAAGUUAGAAAAAUGUCGUAGAGUGUACGAAGUUCUUCCAAAUUAAUUUCGCUAAAUGUUUUGUCUUGUUUUUUAAAUUAAAGUUAAUAAGAAUUGAAGCUGGACGUCAGUUUUGCCUAUCGGAAUAGUUAUUGCCUUGCGAUGACGUUGCCUCCUCGUGACAAUCCGAAGGGAUUGGCGGAUGAACCCGUCGACGGAGUUGGUUCGCUGGUCGCUGGUGUGAUGUAAGUGAAGACUUUCGAUUUUCCUGGCACUUGUAUAAAAGUUGAGUUAUCAUGACUCCUAUAUACGGUGAAAGGAAUUAGAUCGUCUUCACUCGCACGCCAGUGUACAGUUGACUAACACCUUGACGGGGGGUUUCAUUAUACCCUCAAACGAGUCCGUCAGUUUCUGACGUGCGUUGCGGGUGGAGGAAACAGCCGAGCAAGUGGGCGACUAUUUCGAUGGUAGACGAGCUGGUCCAGUUUCUUUUAUUUGUUUAUUUUCUUUUAAUUUUGUUUUUCUCUCUUUAUCUAUUCAAAUAAAAUCUCAUUUUAAAUUUCAAUUCUUUUAAUUGUUUCGUCAUUUAUUUUUCAAUGCGCAGCCGGAGAAGGAAGAUGCCUUUCAUAUGCAGCACAAUAUAAAGGAAAAAUAAACUUCUGGCAUCAGCAAUGAACAUGAUAGAGACGUGCAUGAAAUAUUGAUACGAAGGCCGGGGUAAACCAAACCAAACGUCAUAUACGUUAUCAUGUUAAAAACAUACGAUGAAAAAAGAAUCCGGAACUGCAUUCAGUAAAUAUUCGAUUAAAUAGUGAAUCAAAGAAAGAAAAAGAGCUCUUGAAACACGAUAGUCUCGGGAGAGUCUUCGCCACAACAUGUCAAUAAAACCACAAAAGCUUGAUACGGAGAAAAAGAUACUUUCCGACUGAUUAUUUUGGAAGCGGCGACAAGCCCUUUUUUUGUGGUGACGUGGCCAGCCAACAGUUUCCGAUGGAAAGGCAAGAACUUCAGUAACUGGCCAGCAGUUGGCGAGACAAGUUGCGACAGUGAUGGCGUGAUCGUUUAUCUUCUCGUUCAAGGACACCUCGUCCCAAUCGAAAAAUGGCUACCAAUUCAACGUAAAUGUUUCUCUUUCGAUGAAAUUCGACAGGACAUCCAUUUUAGGAAGUGGGGGUUACGGGGUCGUUUUUAGAGGAGAAUGGAACAAUAAAAUAGUUGCAGUCAAGCGAAUUGAAAAAA